This 627-nucleotide ribosomal RNA is filed under the name Escherichia coli. RNAcentral's name for it is "bacterial LSU rRNA". It matches the Rfam family "Bacterial large subunit ribosomal RNA", at positions 1291 to 1903 of the family's 2925-position model. The record is from RNAcentral. Lineage: Bacteria; Pseudomonadati; Pseudomonadota; Gammaproteobacteria; Enterobacterales; Enterobacteriaceae.
CGAAUGCUGACAUAAGUAACGAUAAAGCGGGUGAAAAGCCCGCUCGCCGGAAGACCAAGGGUUCCUGUCCAACGUUAAUCGGGGCAGGGUGAGUCGACCCCUAAGGCGAGGCCGAAAGGCGUAGUCGAUGGGAAACAGGUUAAUAUUCCUGUACUUGGUGUUACUGCGAAGGGGGGACGGAGAAGGCUAUGUUGGCCGGGCGACGGUUGUCCCGGUUUAAGCGUGUAGGCUGGUUUUCCAGGCAAAUCCGGAAAAUCAAGGCUGAGGCGUGAUGACGAGGCACUACGGUGCUGAAGCAACAAAUGCCCUGCUUCCAGGAAAAGCCUCUAAGCAUCAGGUAACAUCAAAUCGUACCCCAAACCGACACAGGUGGUCAGGUAGAGAAUACCAAGGCGCUUGAGAGAACUCGGGUGAAGGAACUAGGCAAAAUGGUGCCGUAACUUCGGGAGAAGGCACGCUGAUAUGUAGGUGAAGUCCCUCGCGGAUGGAGCUGAAAUCAGUCGAAGAUACCAGCUGGCUGCAACUGUUUAUUAAAAACACAGCACUGUGCAAACACGAAAGUGGACGUAUACGGUGUGACGCCUGCCCGGUGCCGGAAGGUUAAUUGAUGGGGUUAGCGCAAGCGAA